GGGCGCGUAGCUCAGUGGGAGAGCACCGUGUUGACAUCGCGGGGGUCGCAAGUUCAAUCCUUGCCGCGCCCACCA
This 75-nucleotide transfer RNA is filed under the name Rhodospirillaceae bacterium BRH_c57. RNAcentral's name for it is "tRNA-Val". It matches the Rfam family "tRNA". Rfam says of the family: Transfer RNA (tRNA) molecules are approximately 80 nucleotides in length. Their secondary structure includes four short double-helical elements and three loops (D, anti-codon, and T loops). RNAcentral also lists the same sequence under 1 other name. Lineage: Bacteria; Pseudomonadati; Pseudomonadota; Alphaproteobacteria; Rhodospirillales; Rhodospirillaceae. The record is from RNAcentral.